Long non-coding RNA from Dromiciops gliroides (monito del monte), 2254 nucleotides. RefSeq lists it as uncharacterized. The transcript has 3 exons. NCBI's taxonomy places the organism in Eukaryota, Metazoa, Chordata, Mammalia, Microbiotheria, Microbiotheriidae. The record is from RefSeq and is a predicted model, not a curated record.
UCUUUGGAGGAGGAGAAGGAGGUUUGGGUCCCCAGUUCCAUGGAGGCUGGGCAUGGGGCCCUGGAAGGCUGCAGGUCUGCCUGUGCUUUCUCCUGUGCUCCCUAGCCCUCCUUAACCUCCAACCCGCCUCCCUGACCAUUGCCCAAGGGUGCUGCAUGUGCUUGAUCAUGGUUGUGUGAGGGAGGAAGAAAGAAGUCGGCCUGAGUGAUGGAUACAUUUCGAAAACGUGAGCAGUGUACCAGCUGCGGACCUCUCCCCUCCAGGAAGGGCUAAGUUGAUGAUGUCAUUGAAUCAGGACCCCUUCCUUUGGCCUCUUCAGCUCAACAAGCUAAACUUGAAGCUCUGACACCAUCUUGUGAAUUACCAAAAGGAAAAUGAGUGGACAUUGACACGGAUUGCAGGUAUGUUUUGGGGGUGGCACAUGAUUUCAGGAUGUUAUGGAAAUAUCAGGGGUUCCUGACUUCCUCUGGCAUGCCCAUUGAAAAUCCCUCUUGCUGCCAGCAGCAGUGGCUGUUAUUUAAGUUCCAGGACACUCCUAUGAAGACUCCCCCCAUGGCUGGAGUAAUGCCCUUGCUGAGCUGCAUGCCAAGUAAACUUCUCAGAAGCCUGAAUCCCUAUAGGUCUGUCUUCCUUUACAUCUGCUUGGCCUGCUCUCAAAUUAACAUUAACCCUAGCAGAGCCUACUGCUGUCUAAGAGGCCAUGUCUUGUUUGAUCCAAGACAGGCUAAGAAGAGAGUUGCAAAAAGGAGAAAAACAAUGGACUCUGGCAUGGGCCAAAUGGAUGCCCAGUCCUUCCUGACUCUCUCUGUGUCUUCUUGUGAUGGAAUACCUGUACCCUUUAAAUCACUGGAGCCCUGACAGGAUGCUUAGUGUGGGAUGCAAAUAUUAGUGGGGAAAAAUGAGACCAGCUGAAUUUGACGAUUAUCUACAAUGUGAAAUCUGUCCCAAAUAUCAUAUUAACAAGCCCCUAAGACCUGUCAGGGAAAUUGCCUCCCCUUGAGGCCCCCUUUCGAGUCUGACAGAAUGAUUCUAUUUAGUUCUUCACCUCCUCUAGUUAUGUUUGUAUUAGUCAUGGUCUGCAUGUUUUCCCUGGUGGGUGGAGGCUUUUCCUUUCAAACAAGCCACUGCAACAGACUUAGCCAAGCACCCCCAAUCCUCUAGUCUGGUAGAAUUUAUCAAUGGAAUUAAGAUUCAUCUUGCAAAUGUAUGGAUGAUUGGGGUCUGCCAUGGCCAAAAGUCCUAGGUCUUCUGAAAGGUAGGGUGACCCCUUUGGGGAAAUAUUCUUUUACCCUUUGAAAUCAUCCCUGGGCAUUUUAUGACCCUCCUUUUCCUCUCAGUGACUCCCUCACCACCAAGGUUUCCCUUCUGUCCUACUGCUGGGAUUCACUCAGAACUUUUUGAGACAUUAACUUUCAUGUUUCUCAGUCAUUUUCUAGGGACUCAAUCCUGAAUCAGUCUACCUUGCAGUCAGAACCCAAAGAAAAGGCCCUACCAAGUCCUGCUGACCAACCCCUCUGCUGCAACACUGAAGGGAAUUGACAGCUGGGUGCACCUAUGACAUCUGAAGAAGGCUCCAAUCCCCCAGUGGACAGCCCAGCCCACUAACAGUGACCCCAAACUCCAUCUAACCUGGAAAAAGAAGCAGACAACAACAGGGGUAGACCCCUUUCCUAAAACAUUGGACAUGGCCUGAGAAUCCUGUGUUCCUUGUUCCAGCUUACAUUAAUUUAGAACUUUUGCAACCUAUGUCCCUGUACCAGGUACUGAAUGUACCCUACUUGUUAGUCUUUCUGUAUUUUCUAUUCCAAUUAGCUAAUUAUUUUUCAAAAUUGGUAAAUAUGUAAAAAAUCAAUCCCCUUUAUAAAUCAAAUCAACUUUAGCAGGAUAACUCUUGUUCCCAUGAAACAUUGGACCCUUGUCACAUCUUUUCAGUCAUCAGCAGAAUUCCAGACUUCCUCUUGGCCAAGAGGAUAAAAUGACAGCCACAGCUGACUGAGAACUGAUUGAUCCUGCCCUGGUCUCUAUUCCCAAGCCAGUGAAUUGCCCAGGGCUGACCCAGUAUUACCAUUCUGGCUUCUCAUUAUUUUGUAAACCUCAAACUCCCCUCUCCCAAAGGUAAUCUCUUCACUCUCUCUGUCACAAUAUCCUAUAUAAACUCUGUUCCCAAUCCCACUCUUUGGGUACUCUUGGCACUUGCUGUGGGGUACCAUCAGGAGUAACUCUUUUGCCCUGAUUAAAGACCUUAAUUUUGUCA